GUUGCCAACUAAUUUUCGAGUUGAGCAACGCGCAAGAUGCCAACGCGUUGAUAUUGAAGUUGAGAGUAAUUUACACCAGUUGAUAUCCACAUUCGUUGACAUUCACGUUGCUUAGCAUUUUUCGUUGACGUCGAACUUGUGAAUGUAUCGAAACUGAUUUUAAUCGAUAUUGUGUUGUUUUAAUAAUUGAGAAAAGUAAAAAAGUGAACAAUGGCAACAGCGAAGAAGAGCAAAAUAGCGGCAGCAGUGAUUUUGGUUUUAGCUCUUGAGGACGAGGAAGAGCAAGAGCUAAA
Molecule: long non-coding RNA, 293 nt
Organism: Drosophila innubila
Lineage: Eukaryota; Metazoa; Arthropoda; Insecta; Diptera; Drosophilidae
Exons: 2
Source: RefSeq, a predicted model, not a curated record